ACUUGUAAUCUGUAAACGCUCUCAAUAUAGUGAAAAACCCGAAGAACUCCCGUGGACGAACCAUGUAGAUAUUGUGUCGUCGUUUAUUGUUUAGGUCACGUAGAUAUUGUGUCGUCGUUUAUUGUUUUAUAAUUUAGGUGUUGGUUUCGUGCUUUAUCAACUGGUGAUGGGAAAACGGAGCUAAGGUUUUCCGGCGACAAUGGGCGAUCCAUAUCAAUUUCAGUUUUCUCUCCAAAGAUGGCCGCUUUUCCUCCGACAUUCAUCGAUCUAUCAUAUUCUCGACAGUCUCAGUAACAAACCAUUUUCCACCAGCAAUAUCUCGCUAAUCUGAAAUUCAUCCAUCAUCUCCCGUCUAAAAUCAAGUUCAGCGCGAGUCCCAAUCGAGCCGCCCCCUGAUACGGCUUUAACCUCCGAUCGAAAAGUGGUCGCUGCCUUCUUUGAGCGCGCGAACAACCGCCACCUCCAACGGGUCGCCUGUAAUUUCGAAUCGUUCUCCCAAAAAUCCUUAUAAUUCUCGGUGAGAUCUGCCAUCAGCAGCUAACGCUGGUCAUGUCGCAUUGAAACAUCACGAGCGGGUACCCUAAUCAAAAUUUAGACACCAAGGCGGCGAAUCGCUGCAGGAAGAAGUUUGAGCAGCCAUGUAGCUGCCCAAUAGGAUGGGGAAGAUGUCCAUUUCUUAGGGCUUUUCUUAAUUUCUACUUUUUUUCUUUACGAUUUCUUCUGACUUUGUUCAAUUUCUGGUGCAAGGACAAAUGAAAUAUCGAGAAAUGCUUAUUGCUUAACGAAAUUCGUCCAAACCGUCGACGUGGGGGAAUCCGAUUAGCCAGGGGAUGCGCACUGUCUUAUCAUAAGUUGUUCAACCUGCUGGUGUUCGAAUGCGGUUUCUGGCGCACAGAUUCACUCCUGCGCAGUUGGUUCAGUGCUGCCUAACGUUUCUCCGAGCGUCGAAUUGGCGAGGGGUUUUCAUCCUGGCCUGGUUUUGCGAGAUGGGUUGGCUGUGGUUGAUUACUCCGAUGCGGACAGGGCCUCAAGCGCGCCCGCCGAUGAAGGGCUCGAGAUCUCCAAGCUUGAUAUCUCGCCUCAGAUUAUAUUGGCUUUGAAAAAUAUAGGCAUCAAGAGGCUUUUUUCGAUUCAGAGGGCAGUGUUGGGGCCUGCUUUCCAACGCCAAAAUUGGCUUCAUCGAGUCGCUCAUGGGGAAGAAGGUGAUAUGUCUGAGCAUGACACCGUCCAGAGGUCCAUUUACUUUGUUUUUAGCUCUUGUACGUAACUGAAAUUUCGCUCUAUUUGCUGUGGUUUGCUUGAGACUGCGGCUUUUGGGACUAAUUGGGGAAAGAUGUAAAGUUAUUGUUGAUAGUGAUUAUAGCUAUGGGGUUAAAUUCUUGCA
Long non-coding RNA from Salvia miltiorrhiza (redroot sage), 1384 nucleotides. RefSeq lists it as uncharacterized. The transcript is spliced from 2 exons. NCBI's taxonomy places the organism in Eukaryota, Viridiplantae, Streptophyta, Magnoliopsida, Lamiales, Lamiaceae. The record is from RefSeq and is a predicted model, not a curated record.